CAUGCAAGUCGAGGGGCAGCGCGGGAUAGCAAUAUUCUGGCGGCGACCGGCGGAAGGGUGCGUAACGCGUGAGCGGCAUGCCCGUUGCCCGGGGACAACCGGUGGAAACGCCGACUAAUCCCCGAUGGGAUACGAUGCUGCAUGGCAUUGUAUUGAAAGUUACGGCGGCGACGGAUUGGCUCGCGUCCGAUUAGCUGGUUGGCGGGGUAACGGCCCACCAAGGCUGCGAUCGGUAGGGGUUCUGAGAGGAAGGCCCCCCACAAUGGGACUGAGACACGGCCCAUACUCCUACGGGAGGCAGCAGUGAGGAAUAUUGGUCAAUGGGCGGAAGCCUGAACCAGCCAUGCCGCGUGCGGGAAGGAGGCCCUAUGGGCUGUGAACCGCUUUUGCCUGGGGGCAAUAAGGGCGUCGCGCACGCCCGAUGAGAGUACCAGGCGAAUAAGCAUCGGCUAACUCCGUGCCAGCAGCCGCGGUAAUACGGGGGAUGCGAGCGUUAUCCGGAUUCAUUGGGUUUAAAGGGUGCGUAGGCUGUGCGUCAAGUCGGGGGUGAAAUUCCGGUGCUCAACACCGGGGCUGCCCUUGAUACUGUCGCGCUGGAGUGCGGAUGCCGCCGGAGGAAUGAGUGGUGUAGCGGUGAAAUGCUUAGAUAUCACUCAGAACACCGAUUGCGAAGGCAUCUGGCGAAUCCGUAACUGACGCUGAGGCACGAAAGCGUGGGGAUAGAACAGGAUUAGAUACCCUGGUAUUCCACGCCGUAAACGAUGAUGGCUAACCGCCGGCGACACACUGUCGGUGGCCAAGCGAAAGCGAUAAGCCAUCCACCUGGGGAGUACGUCGGCAACGAUGAAA
RNAcentral lists this ribosomal RNA (849 nucleotides) under uncultured bacterium. Its description in RNAcentral is "bacterial SSU rRNA". It matches the Rfam family "Bacterial small subunit ribosomal RNA", at positions 54 to 899 of the family's 1533-position model. The record is from RNAcentral.